GAUGAACGCUAGCGGCAGGCUUAAUACAUGCAAGUCAAGGGGGUAGCAAUACAACCGGCGCACGGGUGAGUAACGCGUACACAACAUACCAUAUACUGGAGUAUAGCUUUGGGAAACUGAAGGUAAUCCUCCAUAACAUUGCGAGAGGGCAUCUGAUUGCAAUUAAAGUUCCGGCGGUAUAUGAUUGGUGUGCGUUUGAUUAGCUAGUUGGUAGGGUAACGGCCUACCAAGGCGACGAUCAAUAGCUGGCGUGAGAGCGCGACCAGCCACACUGGAACUGAGACACGGUCCAGACUCCUACGGGAGGCAGCAGUAGGGAAUAUUGGACAAUGGGCGAAUGCCUGAUCCAGCCAUGCCGCGUGAUAGAUGAAGGCCCUCUGGGUUGUAAAUAUCUUUUAUCUGGGAAGAAACUCCUCUAUUCUUAGAGGCCUGACGGUACCAGAGGAAUAAGCACCGGCUAACUCCGUGCCAGCAGCCG
This 478-nucleotide ribosomal RNA is filed under the name uncultured bacterium. Its description in RNAcentral is "bacterial SSU rRNA". It matches the Rfam family "Bacterial small subunit ribosomal RNA", at positions 28 to 517 of the family's 1533-position model. The record is from RNAcentral.